UAGGGGAAUCUUCGGCAAUGGACGAAAGUCUGACCGAGCAACGCCGCGUGAGUGAAGAAGGUUUUCGGAUCGUAAAACUCUGUUGUUAGAGAAGAACAAGGGUGAGAGUAACUGUUCACCCCUUGACGGUAUCUAACCAGAAAGCCACGGCUAACCACGUACCAG
This 165-nucleotide ribosomal RNA is filed under the name uncultured bacterium. RNAcentral's name for it is "partial 16S rRNA". It matches the Rfam family "Bacterial small subunit ribosomal RNA", at positions 354 to 511 of the family's 1533-position model. The record is from RNAcentral.